CCUUAAAAGAGGUGGUUGCCAAUGAUUCAGAAGGAUCAAUUGUACGUGCUGUUAUAAAUUCACUAAUAAAUAUGGAGAGAACAAAGCCUGGAUCAGCUGAUCUCCUUGUUAGAAGUUUGCUUCAGCGAUUGUCAAGUUCAAAAGAAUCUUCAAUGAAAGAUCUACAGGAGUUAGCAGCUCGACUGUUCUCUAAAGGCAAGGCAGCUCCUGAAGAAACACAAAAUGCGAAUGCAGAAGCUGAAAACAAUAAGAAGAAGCAACAAAAUAAGGAAUACAAUUCAAAUGCCAAUUUAAGCCCACUUGCGAGGUUUCUACUCUCAAGAUGGCAAAGCCAGGUUUCACGGGACAGCAAUCCAGCUUAAAAGAAGAGGUUGGAGCUGGAUUACAACUUUGUUUUGUAGCGUGUUUCUUUUAAUUAUGCAUUCUUUCAGUUUUGAUGUAAAUAUCACUGUAAGAAAUUGUGCAUUUAAUAUCUAUUAUAUAUUAUGAUUAUUUUUUUUCCUUUUUAUAGUUUUAUUUGCAGGGGCGAAUUGCUGUAUAACUAGGGGUUUGCUAUUGUCAUAUU
RNAcentral lists this unclassified non-coding RNA (565 nucleotides) under Hevea brasiliensis (rubber tree). Lineage: Eukaryota; Viridiplantae; Streptophyta; Magnoliopsida; Malpighiales; Euphorbiaceae. The record is from RNAcentral.